GUCUACGCUGUAAACGAUGUGCACUUGGUGGUGGUCCCGUUCGGGAUCGCUGCCGGAGCUAACGCAUUAAGUGCACCGCCUGGGGAGUACGCCGGCAACGGUUAAACUCAAAGGAAUUGACGGGGGCCCCGCACAAGCGGUGGAGCAUGUGGUUUAAUUCGAUGAUACGCGAGGAACCUUACCAGGGCUUGACAUAAACGUGGCGACCGUGGAGACACGGUUUUCCUUUCGGGGACGCGUUUACAGGUGUUGCAUGGCUGUCGU
Molecule: ribosomal RNA, 264 nt
Filed under: uncultured bacterium
Lineage: Bacteria
Description: partial 16S ribosomal RNA
Rfam family: Bacterial small subunit ribosomal RNA
Source: RNAcentral